GAUGAACGCUAGCGGCAGGCUUAACACAUGCAAGUCGAGGGGCAGCGCAGUGUAGCAAUACAUGGGCGGCGACCGGCGCACGGGUGCGUAACGCGUAUCCAACCUUCCCGUUACUCAGGGAUAGCCUUCCGAAAGGGAGAUUAAUACCUGAUGGUGUUUGAAUUCCGCAUGUUAUUCAAACUAAAGAUUUAUCGGUAACGGAUGGGGAUGCGUGACAUUAGAUAGUAGGCGGGGUAACGGCCCACCUAGUCUACGAUGUCUAGGGGUUCUGAGAGGAAGGUCCCCCACACUGGAACUGAGACACGGUCCAGACUCCUACGGGAGGCAGCAGUGGGGAAUAUUGGGCAAUGGGGGCAACCCUGACCCAGCAACGCCGCGUGAAGGAAGAAGGCUUUCGGGUUGUAAACUUCUUUUACCAGGGACGAAGACGUGACGGUACCUGGAGAAAAAGCCACGGCUAACUACGUG
This 468-nucleotide ribosomal RNA is filed under the name uncultured bacterium. RNAcentral describes it as "bacterial SSU rRNA". It matches the Rfam family "Bacterial small subunit ribosomal RNA", at positions 28 to 507 of the family's 1533-position model. The record is from RNAcentral.